UGGAAGGCAGCAAUGGGGAAUAUUGCACAAUGGGCGCAAGCCUGAUGCAGCGACGCCGCGUGGGGGAUGACGNCUUCGGGUUGUAAACCUCUUUCAGUAGGGACGAAGCGCAAGUGACGGUACCUACAGAAGAAGGACCGGCCAAUACGUGCCAGCAGCCGC
This 162-nucleotide ribosomal RNA is filed under the name uncultured bacterium. RNAcentral describes it as "partial 16S ribosomal RNA". It matches the Rfam family "Bacterial small subunit ribosomal RNA", at positions 342 to 518 of the family's 1533-position model. The record is from RNAcentral.